This is a transfer RNA of 90 nucleotides. It matches the Rfam family "tRNA". From Rfam's summary of the family: Transfer RNA (tRNA) molecules are approximately 80 nucleotides in length. Their secondary structure includes four short double-helical elements and three loops (D, anti-codon, and T loops). The record is from Rfam.
UCCGACGUAGUGCAGAGGUUAGCAUAUCAGGCUUUCAGCACAUUCCUGGAAAGCACCCUGAAGACCCGAGUUCGAACCUCGGCGCCGGAG